Long non-coding RNA from Patella vulgata (common limpet), 1444 nucleotides. RefSeq lists it as uncharacterized. The transcript is spliced from 6 exons. The record is from RefSeq and is a predicted model, not a curated record. NCBI's taxonomy places the organism in Eukaryota, Metazoa, Mollusca, Gastropoda, Patellidae.
GGGAGCAUGACACGGGGCUUGAUUACAUCUAGACAUCUAGAUCUGAUGACAUGGCUGGUUUUAAUUUUGAUAGUUGAAGCUAAAACACCUAAAGACAAUGGUUGUUCACCGGAACAGUAUUACGACAGUGGAUUACGGGAAUGUUUUUAUUGUGCUGUUUUGUGUAAAAAGGCUGAAGCCAGAGGUCAGUUAUCAGAAUGUCUGACCAACUGUCCGGAUUAUUUGAAACAAUUCACGACAACCGUGAAUAUACAGAGGUCAUAUGAAACUACUGCCUACCCAACGACAACCUUGAAUAUACCAAGGUCAUAUGAAGCUACAAACCAGCCAACGUCAAUAUUGACUAUCCCACGAUCAUAUGAAACUACAACACGACCAAGGUCAUAUGAAACUACAACACGGCCAAGAUCAUAUGACACUACAACACGGCCAAGAUCAUAUGACACUACAACACGGCCAAGUCCUGUCACCAGCAGUAUUGUUCAAGGGUGGAAUAAAGGUCACGCCAUAGCAAUAGGAGUACCAGGUCUGGUAGUUGUUUCUGCAAUACUCAUUAAACUCUGUAGGAAAAAAUCGGGAAGAACCAGAGGUAGGGUGGAAGUGCAACAAGAUUUACUAGAACAGGGAAACACAGACACAAACAGGCGGGAUUGCGCAAUAGACGUUUGCACAUCGAAUGGAUUUACAGCUGUUCAAGAAAGUCAACCACCAAUAAGUUCUUCAGAGCGUAUAAUGUUAUAAUUGAAAUAAAAUGGGGUUUAACAUCCUACUGCUCUGGUCUGGUCGGAAUAAUGAAGACGGUUUCCGAUAUAAUAAUAGUACCUUUCUGACCAACAGAAGAUGAGUAAAACUAUUUUAAGUGUGUUUGUGAGUUAAAUAUCUUGUUACGAUGCUUGUUAUCUUCAGUAGGCUAUCAGGGAUUUUGUUUUUGACCAAAAGCGCAGUGGAACAAAAACUGUUAAGGGCAUAUAGUUUUGUUUUUAAAUGGCUUAUUUGUUAUGUUCCGUGUGGUAUUUGUGCCUUGUGUGUGUAUAUUUGUGUCUUGUGUAUAUCUAUGCAUUGUGUAUGUAUUGUCUUGUGUGUGUAUAUCUGUGUCUUUUGUAUAUGUAUCUGUGUCUUGUGUAUGUAUAUUUGUGUUUUGAGUAUGUAUAUUUUGUGUCUUGUGUAUGUAUAUUUGUGUCUUGUGUAUGUAUAUUUGUGUCUUGUGUAUGUAUAUUUGUAUAUUGUGUAUGUGUAUUGUGUAUGUAUAUUUGUGUCUGUAUAUUUGAAUCGCUUUUUUAAACUUCAUCUGCAUAAACCAUCAUUUUGUUAAAAUACCGUGUGUUAUUUGCGUCUUGUGUAUGUAUAUUUGUGUAUUUUGUAUAUAUAUUAUGUAUUGUGUAUGUAUAUUUGUGUAAUGUGUAUGUUUUGUUAUGUAGAUCUGUGUCUUGCGUGUGUAUAUUUG